RNAcentral lists this ribosomal RNA (306 nucleotides) under uncultured bacterium. RNAcentral's name for it is "bacterial SSU rRNA". It matches the Rfam family "Bacterial small subunit ribosomal RNA", at positions 29 to 324 of the family's 1533-position model. The record is from RNAcentral.
AAUGAACGCUGGCGGCGCGCCUAAUACAUGCAAGUCGAGCGAGAAGACGUAGCAAUACGUUUGUAAAGCGGCGAACGGGUGAGGAAUACAUGGGUAACCUACCCUCGAGUGGGGAAGUAACUAGCCGAAGGUUAGCUAAUACCGCGUACGCUCCUUGGACUUCGGUUCAGGGAGGGAAAGCGAUACCGUGGGUAUCGCGCUCUUGGUUGGGCUCAUGUCCUAUCAGCUUGUUGGUGAGGUAACGGCUCACCAAGGCUUCGACGGGUAGCUGGUCUGAGAGGACGAUCAGCCACACUGGCACUGCGA